This 224-nucleotide ribosomal RNA is filed under the name uncultured Rhodocyclaceae bacterium. Its description in RNAcentral is "partial 16S ribosomal RNA". It matches the Rfam family "Bacterial small subunit ribosomal RNA", at positions 1157 to 1382 of the family's 1533-position model. Lineage: Bacteria; Pseudomonadati; Pseudomonadota; Betaproteobacteria; Rhodocyclales; Rhodocyclaceae. The record is from RNAcentral.
ACAAACCCGGAGGAAGGUGGGGAUGACGUCAAGUCCUCAUGGCCCUUAUGGUAGGGCUUCACACGUCAUACAAUGGUCGGUACAGAGGGUCGCCAACCCGCAGGGGGAGCCAAUCCCACAAAGCCGAUCGUAGUCCGGAUUGGAGUCUGCAACUCGACUCCAUGAAGUCGGAAUCGCUAGUAAUCGUGGAUCAGCAUGUCACGGUGAAUACGUUCCCGGGUCUU